RNAcentral lists this ribosomal RNA (462 nucleotides) under uncultured bacterium. RNAcentral describes it as "partial 16S ribosomal RNA". It matches the Rfam family "Bacterial small subunit ribosomal RNA", at positions 28 to 507 of the family's 1533-position model. The record is from RNAcentral.
GACGAACGCUGGCGGCGUGCUUAACACAUGCAAGUCGAGCGGUAAGGCCUUUCGGGGUACACGAGCGGCGAACGGGUGAGUAACACGUGGGUGAUCUGCCCUGCACUUCGGGAUAAGCCUGGGAAACUGGGUCUAAUACCGGAUAUGACCUCCUAUCGCAUGGUGGGUGGUGGAAAGAUUUAUCGGUGCAGGAUGGGCCCGCGGCCUAUCAGCUUGUUGGUGGGGUAAUGGCCUACCAAGGCGACGACGGGUAGCCGACCUGAGAGGGUGACCGACCACACUGGGACUGAGACACGGCCCAGACUCCUACGGGAGGCAGCAGUGGGGAAUAUUGCACAAUGGGCGAAAGCCUGAUGCAGCGACGCCGCGUGAGGGAUGACGGCCUUCGGGUUGUAAACCUCUUUCAGCAGGGACGAAGCGCAAGUGACGGUACCUGCAGAAGAAGCACCGGCUAACUACGUG